ACAGCAUGGUGUGGGCAUUUUCUAAUUAGGUCUUUUAGGCUCUCCCAUAUUUCAUGGAACAUCUCUCCAUCCAUUUGGAAAAAAACUUGUUAUCACUUUUCUAACCU
Elaeis guineensis (African oil palm) is the source of this 107-nucleotide small nucleolar RNA. NCBI's taxonomy places the organism in Eukaryota, Viridiplantae, Streptophyta, Magnoliopsida, Arecales, Arecaceae. The record is from RefSeq and is a predicted model, not a curated record.